Non-coding RNA from Python bivittatus (Burmese python), 502 nucleotides. The record is from RefSeq and is a predicted model, not a curated record. Lineage: Eukaryota; Metazoa; Chordata; Lepidosauria; Squamata; Pythonidae.
CCUCAUUUAGUGACUGCCUCGUUUAGUGACCAUUCACAGUUUCGACGAUGAUGAAAAAGGAACUUUGCUACCAAGCUUCGGAUUUACGACCUUCAGAGGUCUGUAAAGCAAAGGAAAGCUGAAGUCUUCAUCCACAAAGACUGAAACUGGUUGUUUUUCCAGUGGGGUGGAAUGUUAGAAUCCUAGCAAUCAAUCAACCAUCCUGCUAGUUUGCUUGCUUCAUUUCUGCCAUUACAGAGAAAAGGGGGGGGGGUUGGAAGGUGAAUCAUUAGGUGCAGAUGGACUGUUAUCUAGUUCUCAGGAAUGCCCAAGGCUGUACCAGUGUGAGACCAGGAGAGAACCUUUGACAUGUGCAAGAGAGACUUGGAGACAGAAGCUGAGGGGGGGAGGAGAUGAAACGGACAGGGGGUAAAAUCAAGUUUUGGCGCGUGCGGGACUUAGGUCUAGCAGUGCUUGAGAGCUGUAUGCUACUUCUAAAUAAAUGAACUUUUUUUUGAACCUG